GAUGAACGCUAGCUACAGGCUUAACACAUGCAAGUCGAGGGGAAACGGCAUUGAGUGCUUGCACUCUUUGGACGUCGACCGGCGCACGGGUGAGUAACGCGUAUCCAACCUUCCCAUUACUGUGGGAUAACCUGCCGAAAGGCAGACUAAUACCGCAUAGUCUUCGAUGACGGCAUCAGAUUUGAAGUAAAGAUUUAUCGGUAAUGGAUGGGGAUGCGUCUGAUUAGCUUGUUGGCGGGGUAACGGCCCACCAAGGCGACGAUCAGUAGGGGUUCUGAGAGGAAGGUCCCCCACAUUGGAACUGAGACACGGUCCAAACUCCUACGGGAGGCAGCAGUGAGGAAUAUUGGUCAAUGGACGGAAGUCUGAACCAGCCAAGUAGCGUGCAGGAUGACGGCCCUAUGGGUUGUAAACUGCUUUUGUAUGGGGAUAAAGUUAGGGACGUGUCCCUAUUUGCAGGUACCAUACGAAUAAGGACCGGCUAAUUCCGUGCCAGCAGCCGCGGUAAUACGGAAGGUCCAGGCGUUAUCCGGAUUUAUUGGGUUUAAAGGGAGCGUAGGCUGGAGAUUAAGUGUGUUGUGAAAUGUAGACGCUCAACGUCUGACUUGCAGCGCAUACUGGUUUCCUUGAGUACGCACAACGUUGGCGGAAUUCGUCGUGUAGCGGUGAAAUGCUUAGAUAUGACGAAGAACUCCGAUUGCGAAGGCAGCUGACGGGAGCGCAACUGACGCUUAAGCUCGAAGGUGCGGGUAUCAAACAGG
RNAcentral lists this ribosomal RNA (761 nucleotides) under Prevotella melaninogenica. RNAcentral describes it as "bacterial SSU rRNA". It matches the Rfam family "Bacterial small subunit ribosomal RNA", at positions 28 to 776 of the family's 1533-position model. Lineage: Bacteria; Pseudomonadati; Bacteroidota; Bacteroidia; Bacteroidales; Prevotellaceae. The record is from RNAcentral.